AACGUUUAGCCUUUUAUAUCCAAUUGGCCCAUAUGUAAAUAUAUGUCUAUGCACUAAAUGUUUAAAUUGACUAAAGCUCAAAGAAAACAUAAUUGUUGUCAAUGUAAAGCAUGAAUAUUAAUUAACAUCAUUUUUAUUUUAAUAUAUUCAUCAUAAUAAUAAUGUAAUCAUCACAAUAAUAUUACAUUCACAUGUUAUAAUUAUCAUUGAGAACACAUGCGA
This 222-nucleotide unclassified non-coding RNA is filed under the name Hevea brasiliensis (rubber tree). Lineage: Eukaryota; Viridiplantae; Streptophyta; Magnoliopsida; Malpighiales; Euphorbiaceae. The record is from RNAcentral.